AGGCGUGGGUUGCAGCAAUGGAGGAAGUGGAGGGUUGUGGAGGAAGGUGAGGGUUGUGGAGGAGAGGAAGGGUUGUGGAUGAAUUUCCGAAUUUACUCUCACUUUUGACAGGAAAUUUAACAGAGUUUGACAAAAGGACUAAUGGUGCAACAAAACACCUACUUGAGUGACCUUUGCAACUAAUAAUUGAGUUGAGUGACCAAACUGUAACUAUGGGUAUAGUUGAGGGACCAUUGCUGCGAAUAACCCUUUUAAUCUUCAUAGA
RNAcentral lists this long non-coding RNA (265 nucleotides) under Prunus persica (peach). Its description in RNAcentral is "long non-coding RNA (PPER_LNC006768)". Lineage: Eukaryota; Viridiplantae; Streptophyta; Magnoliopsida; Rosales; Rosaceae. The record is from RNAcentral.